Molecule: non-coding RNA, 28 nt
Filed under: Mus musculus (house mouse)
Lineage: Eukaryota; Metazoa; Chordata; Mammalia; Rodentia; Muridae
Source: RNAcentral
UGUCAUCCGAGCCAGUCUACUUGGCCAG